GCAUUGUGACAAUUCCAAAUUUUAAUUGUUCGGACCAACCUAAUCUAUGUGCUUAUUCAAUGCUGUAUACUAAUGCUUGAUAAGUUUGCUUCCAGCAAAUUAUGCCUGAUCUUAAUUGGAAAAAGAAAUUCAAAGCAGCAUUCGACUAUCACCCCCACCCCCACAUGACAUAUUUAAAAGCCAUUGAAGAAAAAAAAAAAAAAAACCUGGAAAACCUAAUAAUCUCACUUCUGAAAGAUUAUCAAGGUGCAUAUCCAAAAAAAGACACAAUAAUGAAAUCACACCAUUGGUAACCAAUAUCGUCCAACAAGAAAGGAAAGCGAAUCAAGAACUUCUAGCUUCUAGCUCAUAGCAUAUUUCUGAGUCCAGGCUCGAGCAGUAGCAUCAUACUUGACUCUAUCAGUCGUGUAGAUAUGAGCAAUCUCAGGCACUAGGGGAUCAUUGGGAUUUGGAUCUGUCAACAGCGAGCAUAUCGACAACAACACCUGCAAAGAAACAUAAAAGAUUUGCAAAGCAGAAACAAUCAUAAAGCCCAAGACUAAUUCAAAUUGAAACUAUGGCAAAUACACAGGACUUAUUUUAAAUUUUGGAGUUUGAAGAGAAGUGAAGAUAGUGAUGGAGACCUUUGAAAUUGUCAAGGCUGGGCUCCAUUGCUCCUUGAGAAUGUCAAGACAGAUACUGCCAUUGCUGUUAAUGUUUGGAUGAUAAACUUUUGUCUUAAAGGAAACCUGCACAAAGUAUUUCAUUCAAUAGUAAAUAUCUAUUUUGCAUACAUCAGUACAUUUUGUUGUUCAAAAUAUAACCAAGGAAACAAAAUUUAACAAAAACAACCUUUCAAGUGACUUAAGUAACAUUGAAGUGACUGGAUUACUAAUAAACAGGGACAUUCAUGGGUUUUCAUUUUGGUAGAAUGGAAGGACAAUUCUGCUGUCAUGUGAGGUGACUAGAUCACUAAUAAAACAGAGGCUGUAAAAAUCCUGAGGUCAACAACAUCAGUACAAAGGAAACAGAAAAGCAAGGAAGAUUUGCGACAUCAGAUUACGAGGAGCACAUACUAUAGAUUUGCUCACAUCAGAAUUUGUCCAUUGUGAGAAAGAAAGGAAACAUACAUCUGUGCAGAUGAAUCGAUACAUGAAUUAUCAAGAACAUGUCCUUUCAGGGACAUUCUGGUAUAAUGAAAGGACUUCUUGUAAAUGGAUAGAAUCCCAUGCUUAAGUUAAUAUCUCUUCUAAACAAGAAAGAGAAUGACUAAAUUGUUUCUAAUAGAGAAAAAAUCCUAAACUUAUUGUUAAUGAUUUUUAUCUUUUUAUUAUAGUUUAUUAUUAUUAUUAUUAUUAUCAUUUGAGUUAAGAGAUAAUUUGAUAAUUUAGUAAAUUUAAAUAUUAUUAAAAAAUAAUUGAUGUAUACAUUGCAUGCGUUAGUGCAUAGAUAUCUCCUCGAGUUAAUUUUGGGUGGUGCGUACAACAUUGUUCAUUGGUCAAAUACCAGAUUUCAAGGCGGCAUUGAAAAGUGCUACGUGUCCCCUCCAUACCCGAGUGGUGCAUGUUAAUGACAAGUUAUUGAUUUCUCCCUAAUAACAUAUUUUUUUGUUUUUUUUUCUUCUCCCCUUUGAUUCUCGCACCAAACCCUUCAACUUGAUUUUUCUUUGAAUUUAGUUUUUAUUUUUAUUAUUGUAUGUUUUAUUUGAGAUAAUUUAUAGAUUUAGAAUAUUUUUUUCAAUUUCAUCCUUAUUUUAUUUUUUUCAUCUAUCAAACUUGGUCCCUAUUAUUUUAAUUGAUAUUUUUUAUUUUUUUUCUUGAUUUACUUUAUUUUUUAAUUUAAUCUCUCAUUCUUUUAUUUCAUUUAAUAUUAAUAACAUAUUUGAUCCUCAUUCUUUUAAUAACUACUUUUUUGUUUUUUGUUUUUUUCUUGAUUUAUUUUUCAAUUUAAUCCAUCAUUUUUUUAUUUCAUUUAAUAUUAAUAACAGAUUUAAUCCUCGUUUUUUUUAUUGCUAAUUUUUUAUUUUUUAUUUUUAUCUUUUUUUUUAUUUGUUUUAUUUUUCAAUUUCAUUUCUUAUUAUUUUAUUUUAUUUAAUUUUUAUAUCAUAUUUGGUCCUUAUUGUUUUAUUAUUAUUUAUUUUAUUUUUGUUUUAUUUUAGAUGGUUAAGAAAUUUGCUUCGUGAUAUUUUUAAAUUUACCUUCUAUAAGGUAAGUCAAUCCAAUGACUAAAGACACGAGUUUCAAAAAUUACCUAGUUUGUUUGCCUUUAAUUGUUUUGUUUGCCUUUGAGUUGACCUUCAUUGUUUUGUUCAUAUAUUUUUUAUAUAGAAUUAUCUCACCAAAAAUAUAUAGAACUCACUGUCACCGUCAUAAGGUAGCUACAUAUUUAACAUACAGAUAUCAGCUAGUUUUUUUUUUUUUUUUUACUUUCAAUUCACCCUUCAAUAUUUGCUUUGUGAGUAAUAUUUUUUUUAUUUUUUUUAUAAAAUUAUCUCAUUCUCCUUUUUUACUUGAGUCAGGCCAUGGCAUAACACAGAAACUCCUAUCUAAUACAUCCCUAUUUCCAAUUAAGGUCAACUAUAAUUUGCAUUAGGGACAAAUAUGAUAGCCAUUCAGAUUAAAGCAAUAUUUGGGGGUCCACAGUGAUGUUGUAGCCUCUAACAGAUCCGAAUUCUGCUUCGACGAAUUCUGCUUCAAAUUUCUUCUUCCGAGCAAUCUGUGUUAUUCGUCUGCAUUGUGACUAUUCCAAAUUUUAAUUGUUCGGACCAAUCUAAUCUAUGUGCUUAUUCAGUGCUGUAUACUAUGCUUGAUAAGUUUGCUUCCGGCAAAUUAUGCCUGAUCUUAAUUGGAAGAAGAAAUUCAAAGCAGCAUUCGACUAUCACCCCCACCCCCACAUGACAUAUUUAAAAGCCAUUGAAGAAAAAAAAAAAAAAAACCUGGAAAACCUAAUAAUCUCACUUCUGAAAGAUUAUCAAGGUGCAUAUCCAAAAAAAGACACAAUAAUGAAAUCACACCAUUGGUAACCAAUAUCGUCCAACAAGAAAGGAAAGCGAAUCAAGAACUUCUAGCUUCUAGC
This 3054-nucleotide long non-coding RNA is filed under the name Populus tremula. Its description in RNAcentral is "long non-coding RNA (PTRE_LNC001633)". The record is from RNAcentral. Lineage: Eukaryota; Viridiplantae; Streptophyta; Magnoliopsida; Malpighiales; Salicaceae.